This 556-nucleotide ribosomal RNA is filed under the name Apiospora rasikravindrae. RNAcentral's name for it is "Arthrinium rasikravindrae partial large subunit ribosomal RNA". It matches the Rfam family "Eukaryotic large subunit ribosomal RNA", at positions 79 to 660 of the family's 3401-position model. Lineage: Eukaryota; Fungi; Ascomycota; Sordariomycetes; Amphisphaeriales; Apiosporaceae. The record is from RNAcentral.
CCUAGUACGGCGAGUGAGCGGGAACAGCUCAAAUUUGAAAUCUGGCCCUUGGGUCCGAGUUGUAAUUUGCAGAGGAUGCUUUUGGUGCGGUGCCUUCCGAGUUCCCUGGAACGGGACGCCUUAGAGGGUGAGAGCCCCGUACGGUUGGCCACCAAGCCUGUGUAAAGCUCCUUCGACGAGUCGAGUAGUUUGGGAAUGCUGCUCAAAAUGGGAGGUAUAUUUCUUCUAAAGCUAAAUACUGGCCAGAGACCGAUAGCGCACAAGUAGAGUGAUCGAAAGAUGAAAAGCACUUUGAAAAGAGGGUUAAAUAGCACGUGAAAUUGUUGAAAGGGAAGGAUUUAUGACCAGACUUUUUCUAGGGGGAUCAUCCGGUGUUCUCACCGGUGCACUUCCCCUAGUUGAGGCCAGCAUCGGUUUCUGUCGGGGGAUAAAAGCUUCGGGAAUGUGGCUCCCUCCGGGGAGUGUUAUAGCCCGUUGCAUAAUACCCUGACGGGGACCGAGGUUCGCGCAUUGCAAGGAUGCUGGCGUAAUGGUUAUUAAUCACCCGUCUUGAACC